This 406-nucleotide ribosomal RNA is filed under the name uncultured bacterium. RNAcentral describes it as "partial 16S ribosomal RNA". It matches the Rfam family "Bacterial small subunit ribosomal RNA", at positions 30 to 526 of the family's 1533-position model. The record is from RNAcentral.
AUUGAACGCUGGCGGCAGGCUUAACACAUGCAAGUCGAACGAGUGGCGGACGGGUGAGUAAUGUCUGGGAAACUGCCUGAUGGAGGGGGAUAACUACUGGAAACGGUAGCUAAUACCGCAUACCAUCAGAUGUGCCCAGAUGGGAUUAGCUAGUAGGUGGGGUAAAGGCUCACCAAGGCGACGAUCCCUAGCUGGUCUGAGAGGAUGACCAGCCACACUGGAACUGAGACACGGUCCAGACUCCUACGGGAGGCAGCAGUGGGGAAUAUUGCACAAUGGGCGCAAGCCUGAUGCAGCCAUGCCGCGUGUAUGAAGAAGGCCUUCGGGUUGUAAAGUACUUUCAGCGGGGAGGCGUUACCCGCAGAAGAAGCACCGGCUAACUCCGUGCCAGCAGCCGCGGUAAUUC